UUAAGUUCAGCGGGUAGUCCUACCUGAUUUGAGGUCAGAUGUCAAGUAUGUUGUCCGAAGACGACUAUAAGCUCGUCCCCCCGCGGCUACACGACCAACAACAAAGUCAGGGUAACACGCGCCACUACAAGGACUUGCCGGCGUAGAUAAUUAUCACACCGGGGAUCCUCGUAGACAAGGUCCAAGCUAAUGCAUUCAAG
RNAcentral lists this unclassified non-coding RNA (200 nucleotides) under Agaricomycetes sp. Its description in RNAcentral is "partial internal transcribed spacer 2". Lineage: Eukaryota; Fungi; Basidiomycota; Agaricomycetes. The record is from RNAcentral.